UAUAACGGUCCUAAGGUAGCGAAAUUCCUUGUCGGGUAAGUUCCGACCUGCACGAAUGGCGUAAUGAUGGCCAGGCUGUCUCCACCCGAGACUCAGUGAAAUUGAACUCGCUGUGAAGAUGCAGUGUACCCGCGGCAAGACGGAAAGACCCCGUGAACCUUUACUAUAGCUUGACACUGAACAUUGAGCCUUGAUGUGUAGGAUAGGUGGGAGGCUUUGAAGUGUGGACGCCAGUCUGCAUGGAGCCGGCCUUGAAAUACCACCCUUUAAUGUUUGAUGUUCUAACGUGGACCCGUGAUCCGGGUUGCGGACAGUGUCUGGUGGGUAGUUUGACUGGGGCGGUCUCCUCCUAAAGAGUAACGGAGGAGCACGAAGGUUGGCUAAUCCUGGUCGGACAUCAGGAGGUUAGUGCAAUGGCAUAAGCCAGCUUGACUGCGAGCGUGACGGCGCGAGCAGGUGCGAAAGCAGGUCAUAGUGAUCCGGUGGUUCUGAAUGGAAGGGCCAUCGCUCAACGGAUAAAAGGUACUCCGGGGAUAACAGGCUGAUACCGCCCAAGAGUUCAUAUCGACGGCGGUGUUUGGCACCUCGAUGUCGGCUCAUCACAUCCUGGGGCUGAAGUAGGUCCCAAGGGUAUGGCUGUUCGCCAUUUAAAGUGGUACGCGAGCUGGGUUUAGAACGUCGUGAGACAGUUCGGUCCCUAUCUGCCGUGGGCGCUGGAGAACUGAGGGGGGCUGCUCCUAGUACGAGAGGACCGGAGUGGACGCAUCACUGGUGUUCGGGUUGUCAUGCCAAUGGCACUGCCCGGUAGCUAAAUGCGGAAGAGAUAAGUGCUGAAAGCAUCUAAGCACGAAACUUGCCCCGA
RNAcentral lists this ribosomal RNA (862 nucleotides) under Salmonella enterica. RNAcentral describes it as "partial 23S ribosomal RNA". It matches the Rfam family "Bacterial large subunit ribosomal RNA", at positions 1941 to 2802 of the family's 2925-position model. Lineage: Bacteria; Pseudomonadati; Pseudomonadota; Gammaproteobacteria; Enterobacterales; Enterobacteriaceae. The record is from RNAcentral.